UACGUAGGGGGCAAGCGUUGUCCGGAUUUAUUGGGCGUAAAGAGCGUGUAGGCGGCUGGGUAGGUCCGUUGUGAAAACUCGAGGCUCAACCUCGAGACGCCGAUGGAAACCCUCCAGCUAGAGUCCGGAAGAGGAGAGUGGAAUUCCUGGUGUAGCGGUGAAAUGCGCAGAUAUCAGGAAGAACACCCGUGGCUAAGGCGGCUCUCUAGUACGGUACUGACGCUGUGACGCGAAAGCGUGGGGAGCGAACAGG
RNAcentral lists this ribosomal RNA (253 nucleotides) under uncultured bacterium. Its description in RNAcentral is "partial 16S ribosomal RNA". It matches the Rfam family "Bacterial small subunit ribosomal RNA", at positions 524 to 776 of the family's 1533-position model. The record is from RNAcentral.